This 74-nucleotide transfer RNA is filed under the name Podarcis lilfordi (Lilford's wall lizard). RNAcentral describes it as "tRNA.Undet". The record is from RNAcentral. Lineage: Eukaryota; Metazoa; Chordata; Lepidosauria; Squamata; Lacertidae.
ACCUGGAUAGCUCAGUUGGUUAGAGUGUGAUGCUGAUAAUACCAAGGUUGCAGGUUUGAUCCCUUUAUGGGAUA